This 480-nucleotide ribosomal RNA is filed under the name Streptococcus mutans. RNAcentral's name for it is "bacterial SSU rRNA". It matches the Rfam family "Bacterial small subunit ribosomal RNA", at positions 28 to 485 of the family's 1533-position model. Lineage: Bacteria; Bacillati; Bacillota; Bacilli; Lactobacillales; Streptococcaceae. The record is from RNAcentral.
GACGAACGCGGGCGGCGUGCUAAUACAUGCAAGUGGGACGCAAGGAAACACACUGUGCUUGCACACCGUGUUUUCUUGAGUCGCGAACGGGUGAGUAACGCGUAGGUAACCUGCCUAUUAGCGGGGGAUAACUAUUGGAAACGAUAGCUAAUACCGCAUAAUAUUAAUUAUUGCAUGAUAAUUGAUUGAAAGAUGCAAGCGCAUCACUAGUAGAUGGACCUGCGUUGUAUUAGCUAGUUGGUAAGGUAAGAGCUUACCAAGGCGACGAUACAUAGCCGACCUGAGAGGGUGAUCGGCCACACUGGGACUGAGACACGGCCCAGACUCCUACGGGAGGCAGCAGUAGGGAAUCUUCGGCAAUGGACGAAAGUCUGACCGAGCAACGCCGCGUGAGUGAAGAAGGUUUUCGGAUCGUAAAGCUCUGUUGUAAGUCAAGAACGUGUGUGAGAGUGGAAAGUUCACACAGUGACGGAGCUACCA